AACGAACGCUGGCGGCAGGCCUAACACAUGCAAGUCGAGCGCCCUUUCGGGGGAGCGGCGGACGGGUGAGUAACGCGUGGGAAUAUGCCCUUCUUUACGGAAUAGCCUCGGGAAACUGAGAGUAAUACCGUAUACGCCCUUUGGGGGAAAGAUUUAUCGGGGAAGGAUUAGCCCGCGUUGGAUUAGGUAGUUGGUGGGGUAAUGGCCUACCAAGCCGACGAUCCAUAGCUGGUUUGAGAGGAUGAUCAGCCACACUGGGACUGAGACACGGCCCAGACUCCUACGGGAGGCAGCAGUGGGGAAUCUUAGACAAUGGGGGCAACCCUGAUCUAGCCAUGCCGCGUGAGUGAUGAAGGCCUUAGGGUUGUAAAGCUCUUUCAGCUGGGAAGAUAAUGACGGUACCAGCAGAAGAAGCCCCGGCUAACUCCGUG
RNAcentral lists this ribosomal RNA (431 nucleotides) under uncultured bacterium. RNAcentral describes it as "partial 16S ribosomal RNA". It matches the Rfam family "Bacterial small subunit ribosomal RNA", at positions 29 to 507 of the family's 1533-position model. The record is from RNAcentral.